This 515-nucleotide ribosomal RNA is filed under the name uncultured bacterium. RNAcentral's name for it is "partial 16S ribosomal RNA". It matches the Rfam family "Bacterial small subunit ribosomal RNA", at positions 28 to 523 of the family's 1533-position model. The record is from RNAcentral.
GAUGAACGCUGGCGGCGUGCCUAAUACAUGCAAGUCGAGCGAAUGGAUUAAGAGCUUGCUCUUAUGAAGUUAGCGGCGGACGGGUGAGUAACACGUGGGUAACCUGCCCAUAAGACUGGGAUAACUCCGGGAAACCGGGGCUAAUACCGGAUAACAUUUUGAACCGCAUGGUUCGAAAUUGAAAGGCGGCUUCGGCUGUCACUUAUGGAUGGACCCGCGUCGCAUUAGCUAGUUGGUGAGGUAACGGCUCACCAAGGCAACGAUGCGUAGCCGACCUGGGAGGGUAGUCGGCCACACUGGGACUGAGACACGGCCCAGACUCCUACGGGAGGCAGCAGUAGGGAAUCUUCCGCAAUGGACGAAAGUCUGACGGAGCAACGCCGCGUGAGUGACGAAGGCUUUCGGGUCGUAAACCUCUGUUGUUAGGGAAGAACAAGUGCUAGUUGAAUAAGCUGGCACCUUGACGGUACCUAACCAGAAAGCCACGGCUAACUACGUGCCAGCCGCCGCGGUAA